UACGUAGGGGGCAAGCGUUAUCCGGAAUUAUUGGGCGUAAAGAGUACGUAGGUGGCAGCGUAAGCGCAAGGUGAAAGCCCGGGGCUUAACUCCGGCGAGCCUUGUGAACUGCGCAGCUUGAGUGCAGGAGGGGGAAGUGGAAUUCCUAGUGUAGCGGUGAAAUGCGUAGAUAUUAGGAGGAACACCGGUGGCGAAGGCGACUUUCUGGACUGUAACUGACACUGAGGUACGAAAGCGUGGGGAGC
This 245-nucleotide ribosomal RNA is filed under the name uncultured Eubacteriales bacterium. RNAcentral describes it as "uncultured Clostridiales bacterium partial 16S ribosomal RNA". It matches the Rfam family "Bacterial small subunit ribosomal RNA", at positions 524 to 769 of the family's 1533-position model. The record is from RNAcentral. Lineage: Bacteria; Bacillati; Bacillota; Clostridia; Eubacteriales.